ACCCUCACAAAGGCACUGACU
Molecule: microRNA, 21 nt
Filed under: Danio rerio (zebrafish)
Lineage: Eukaryota; Metazoa; Chordata; Actinopteri; Cypriniformes; Danionidae
Description: dre-miR-430a-5p
Gene: dre-miR-430a-5p
Source: miRBase by way of RNAcentral